This 540-nucleotide ribosomal RNA is filed under the name Triticum aestivum (bread wheat). Its description in RNAcentral is "partial small subunit ribosomal RNA". Lineage: Eukaryota; Viridiplantae; Streptophyta; Magnoliopsida; Poales; Poaceae. The record is from RNAcentral.
AUGGAUUGGAAUUAUGAUUCAUCUGAUGAAGACUACAUCUAUGAUGAAGAUUCAGAUGGUCAUAUAAUGAAGAGUAGGAGCACACUCCCAAGAUACAACACUAAAAGUGAAGUACCACAUUUUGCUUUAACCAUGGUUUUUAGAAGCAAGAAUCAGUGUAAAGCUUUGAGAAGAUAUGGACUAGUAACAAAAAGGAGCAUCUUGUUCAUGAAAUCUGAGUGUGAUGGAGUGAGAGCAAAGUGUGGAUGGCCUGGCUACUCAUGGCUUAUAUAUGCAGCCAAGAGAUCAAGAACUUCAAGAUUCCAAGUGAUAACAUACAAUGAUGAUCACCAAUGUGCACAUAACAAAUGCAACAAAUUGGUUACUGCAAAGGUGAUUGCACAGAGGUAUGCACACUUCAUAUUGGCAAAUCCUAUGUGGAAAAUUAACAGCAUGAAAGCAACUGUUUUGCAAGAUAUGUUUGCUAAUGUCUCAACUUCAAAGUGCAAGCAUGCAAACAAAAAAUUUCAUGGAAAAAUUGUUGUGUGGAAUGAACAAUGA